This 500-nucleotide ribosomal RNA is filed under the name uncultured bacterium. Its description in RNAcentral is "partial 16S ribosomal RNA". It matches the Rfam family "Bacterial small subunit ribosomal RNA", at positions 29 to 523 of the family's 1533-position model. The record is from RNAcentral.
AUUGAACGCUGGCGGCAUGCCUUACACAUGCAAGUCGAACGGCAGCACGGGAGCAAUCCUGGUGGCGAGUGGCGAACGGGUGAGUAAUGUAUCGGAACGUGCCCAGUCGUGGGGGAUAACGUAGCGAAAGCCACGCUAAUACCGCAUACGAUCUGUGGAUGAAAGCGGGGGACCGUAAGGCCUCGCGCGAUUGGAGCGGCCGAUAUCAGAUUAGGUAGUGGGUGGGGUAAAGGCCUACCAAGCCGACGAUCUGUAGCUGGUCUGAGAGGACGACCAGCCACACUGGGACUGAGACACGGCCCAGACUCCUACGGGAGGCAGCAGUGGGGAAGUUUGGACAAUGGGCGCAAGCCAGAUCCAGCAAUGCCGCGUGCAGGAUGAAGGCCUUCGGGUUGUAAACUGCUUUUGUACGGAGCGAAAAGGCUCUCUCUAAUACAGGGGGCUCAUGAAGGUACCUGGUGAAUAAGCCACGGCUAACUACGUGCCAGCCGCCGCCGUAA